This 427-nucleotide ribosomal RNA is filed under the name uncultured bacterium. Its description in RNAcentral is "partial 16S ribosomal RNA". It matches the Rfam family "Bacterial small subunit ribosomal RNA", at positions 355 to 774 of the family's 1533-position model. The record is from RNAcentral.
UGGGGAAUAUUGGACAAUGGGCGAAAGCCUGAUCCAGCCAUGCCGCGUGUGUGAAGAAGGUCUUCGGAUUGUAAAGCACUUUAAGUUGGGAGGAAGGGCAUUAACCUAAUACGUUAGUGUUUUGACGUUACCGACAGAAUAAGCACCGGCUAACUCUGUGCCAGCAGCCGCGGUAAUACAGAGGGUGCAAGCGUUAAUCGGAAUUACUGGGCGUAAAGCGCGCGUAGGUGGUGUGUUAAGUUGGAUGUGAAAUCCCCGGGCUCAACCUGGGAACUGCAUUCAAAACUGACUGACUAGAGUAUGGUAGAGGGUGGUGGAAUUUCCUGUGUAGCGGUGAAAUGUGUAGAUAUAGGAAGGAACACCAGUGGCGAAGGCGACCACCUGGACUAAUACUGACACUGAGGUGCGAAAGCGUGGGGAGCAAACA